Triticum aestivum (bread wheat) is the source of this 125-nucleotide non-coding RNA. The record is from Rfam. NCBI's taxonomy places the organism in Eukaryota, Viridiplantae, Streptophyta, Magnoliopsida, Poales, Poaceae.
CAAAUACUCCCUCCGUCCGGAAAUACUUGUCGAAGGAAUGGACGUAUCUAGACGUAUUUUAGUGUUGAAUACAUUCAUUUUUAGUCAUUUCUAUGAUAAGUAUUUCCGGACGAAGGAAGUACCAC